RNAcentral lists this ribosomal RNA (444 nucleotides) under uncultured bacterium. Its description in RNAcentral is "partial 16S ribosomal RNA". It matches the Rfam family "Bacterial small subunit ribosomal RNA", at positions 339 to 795 of the family's 1533-position model. The record is from RNAcentral.
CUACGGGCCGCAGCAGUGGGGAAUAUUGCACAAUGGGCGCAAGCCUGAUGCAGCAACGCCGCGUGAGGGAUGAAGGCCUUCGGGUUGUAAACCUCUUUUAGCAGGGAAGAAGCGAAAGUGACGGUACCUGCAGAAAAAUCACCGGCUAACUACGUGCCAGCAGCCGGGGUAAUACGUAGGGUGCAAGCGUUGUCCGGAAUUAUUGGGCGUAAAGAGCUCGUAGGCGGUUUGUCACGUCUGCUGUGAAAAUCCAAGGCUCAACCUUGGACUUGCAGUGGGUACGGGCAGGCUAGAGUGCGGUAGGGGAGAUGGGAAUUCCGGGUGUAGCGGUGGAAUGCGCAGAUAUCAGGAGGAACACCAAUGGCGAAGGCACAUCUCUGGGCCGUAACUGACGCUGAGGAGCGAAAGCGUGGGGAGCGAACAGGAUUAGAUACCCCAGUAGUC